Oreochromis niloticus (Nile tilapia) is the source of this 2222-nucleotide long non-coding RNA. NCBI's taxonomy places the organism in Eukaryota, Metazoa, Chordata, Actinopteri, Cichliformes, Cichlidae. The record is from Ensembl.
GCCAGGUGCUUGCAAGCAUUAGAUUGGGAUUCAUCUGGGGUGCUACGGGUUGUUUAGCUAAGAGAUUAUUUUCCCUCAUAUCUGCAUCUUGCAAAUGGAGAAAAACCCAAAGACAGGAAUGCAGGAUGCAUUGUCUUCAAAGAAAGUGUGGUUUUGGUUAUUUGCAGAUCUAAACCAAGCCUGAUUAAACACGUGGAGUAGGUAGGACUUGUUUCAUCAGGAAAUAAAGUCAUUCAGCUGCUUUUGAAACUGAUGAUUCUGACAUGACUCACAAGCAAACAGUGCAUUCUUCUGCUAAUUUUCUUCAUUUGUCUUUUUCCUUCUCCGGGCAUUUCUCUUUGAGUGUUUUCCACCUUUCCAGCCUCAAAUGAAAACAGCACAAAACAGCUCACAGCUACAACCUGUGGUGAGGUGACGAAAUUAUGAGUGCAGCGCACAAAGUUUGGCAACCACCUGAUUACGUACCGGCUGAUGUUCAGCCAAGUUGAGCUAGUUUUCCUUGGAUGUAUCUGCACCUUUUGACCUACAAGCCAUCAAAACCUCAGUGCGUAGCACACUGAUGCUCUUGUCCUACGUCUUCGCCUCCUCUCUAACUCACCUUGCAGUCAGCUUUGGACACAUAAAAGAGGAAAAAGUGACUCCUCGCUGUAGAUCUGUGCCGCUCGGAGCUCCACUGCCCGUCUGAAAGGCAGCACGCUGCCAUGAGUGAAACACUCUCCCUCCACCUCUCCCUCUUGUCGUGCCAAAUUGUGUUUUACAACAUCUGUUCAUUAUAGAUGGCCGACAUGAUGGAUAUGGUCAUAAUAUUAAUGUAAGACUGACACAGCAGAGACAUGAAUCAUGGCUGACUUUAUUUCAAAGCCGCCGUUUCAUUGGACCACCACUAAAAAGUGAUAUAUAAAUGUCAGCGAAUGGCAGCUGUAAAGCAUUAUGAAGUACAUUUGAUGGUGCAUUUUCACCGUUAUCAACCCGCUGUUAUUUACUAAUGUGUCUUCUUCAUGUGACAGCCGCUGUGUCGGCGUCAUUUAGCGCUUAUGUGCUUAAAGAGACUACCUUUUGUCUCCCUCAGGUGCUGUCUCAGCAGGGAGGAGAUGAAAAGGUCGACGGCCGUGCGACAAAAAAAACAUCUGCCCACCAAAAAUUCACAAGCUGCCGCAGACGGCAACAGUCGGUUUGUGUUCCUGCUGCCACACGGUGUCGUCGACAGCGUUGAGUGUUGACGGAUCUGUUGUGCUGCUGAGUUAGCUGCACUUCUGUGUGAUCUGCUGGGAUUAAACAACAACAAAUGGGGUUCAUUAAAAAAUAAUGUUUAACAUGUGUAAUAUACAUAUACUGUAUUUAUAUACAAGAGUAUAAUUUGUAUGAAUACAAGGAGAUACAUUGUGUAAAUUUAAAGAGAUACAUUGUAAACAUCAAAGAAGAUUCACUAUAUAAAUACAGGGGGGUAUAUUGCAUUAAUACAGUUUACAAUAUUAUAUUUUUAUACAAUGUAUAAAUAUAUUGUUUUAAUACAAUGCAUCCUGUAUAACUUAUGUCUAAAGUAUUAACAAGUUGUUUUAACUGCAAUUUUUUUUGUUUUUGUUUGUUUUCUUUUCUUUUUUUGCUAAUUUUUUAAUACAUGAAAAUAAAUUCUGAAAAUGUCAUAAUUAAUUAGUAAAAUUAAUAAAAUAUUAAUACGACAAAGAAGAAUAAAAUGUGUAAUUGGUGUUAAAUAAUAAAAUAAAUGCAAGAAGAAAUUUAAUAUAUUCAAACUGAAUAUGUUUUAUUAAUAAACGUUCAGUAUAACAAAAUAUGGAAAAACACCGUUUGUUCAUUUUUUUUAAAUGCAGUUUUUUUCUCAUAUUUUUUUUUACAAGCUAAUACUACAAUACAAACUGUAUUCAUUUAGACUUUUUUUUCCCCCACAACUUUUUUUAAAAAAAACACAAAAGAGCUCUUUAACCCUGAUUCGCUGUGUCUGAUAAACCUAAUGAUGAUUUGGGUUUCUCAAAGCACCACCAUGUUUUGGAAAUGAGCUCUAAAAGCAGGAUCCGCAGAGGCAGAACAAAGACAAGUUUGGAAAGGUUUAAAGGUUGCCUGGACUGUUCGGAAAAGCGCAGCUCGUUACGGCUCGAGCGGCGAACGCGCUCAUUUGCAGAAACAAGUGUGUGGAGAGUUUAAAGGUUGCAUACAUCGAAGCAGAGAUGUAGCGAGAGCAUUUGACUUUCCUGGAGAAGUACAGU